CAAAAGAAGACCUCUCUCUCUCUCAAGCUCUCCUCUCUCUCUCUACACGGGUGGAUCUUGGAGGAGGAUUUGGUGAACAAGAUCAAGAGAGGGAUUAGCAUCUUCUUCUUCUUCCUCUCCACCAUUGGAGCUUGCUUUGGAGGUCUCUGAACGCGUCGGCGAAGAUGGUUCGUCGAUUUGUCGAGCGGGUGCAAAGAUAUUGAAGAAAAGGCUUGUUGAGGUACAGAUUGCCGCAGCUCGCGGCGAAAGCUGCCUAAAAUCGCGAAAUCGGAAUCGUGGGCUCGUGGCAUCGCCUAAAGGUCCGAAUACUAGCGCGCCGGUCGAGGAUCGUUGUAAGGGCUUGGCGCCCUAGGCAUUUGGUAGCUUACUUUCCUAUGCAUUAGUAGUACCCUAUUUCUAUUUUGAGAGUAGAUGAUGUAUAGGGUGUGAGGUAUUUUGGA
Long non-coding RNA from Ananas comosus (pineapple), 440 nucleotides. RefSeq lists it as uncharacterized. The record is from RefSeq and is a predicted model, not a curated record. The transcript has 3 exons. Lineage: Eukaryota; Viridiplantae; Streptophyta; Magnoliopsida; Poales; Bromeliaceae.